AGGAAAGUCAUAAAUAUAUAAAUUAAAAUAUAUUUUAUUUAUUAUGUAAUAGUAAAUUAAUAAAUAUAUUUUAUAAUAAAGUAAUUAAUAUAAAUAAGAAUAUAUAAUUAUACUUGUAUCUUAUUAUUAUUUAUAAAUAAUAAUAAUGGGUAAGGUAAAAGUAAAUAUUUGUUAUAAACAUAUAACAAAAUAUAUAUGGAAAUAAAGCUUAAUAUGUAUAUGUAUAAAUACCUUAUAAAUUAUUAUAAUUAUCUCUUUAAUAAAAUAUAUAGUAAUAGGUAAUUAAUUAUAAUAAAUAUAAUUUAUAUAAAAGGUUUGAGUGAAAUAUUUAAUUAUUCUUAAUAUUAAUUAUAUAAGUUUUUAGUAAUUAAAAUAAGAUAGGGAUAUUAUUUAUAUAUAUAUAUAAUAUUCCUGAAUAUAAUAAUAUAGUAUAUAUUAAUAUGUAUAUAAUUAUAAAAAAAAAUAUAUAAGAAAGAAUAAUAAUACAAAAAUAUGCUU
RNAcentral lists this ribosomal RNA (498 nucleotides) under Lachancea mirantina. RNAcentral's name for it is "eukaryotic LSU rRNA". Lineage: Eukaryota; Fungi; Ascomycota; Saccharomycetes; Saccharomycetales; Saccharomycetaceae. The record is from RNAcentral.